GCCCUAAAAGCUGACCAGGAUAGCUGUUAAUCUUGUAAAUUAAAAGGAGAGGUUCGAAUCCUUUUUGGGGCU
RNAcentral lists this transfer RNA (72 nucleotides) under Anthenea aspera. RNAcentral describes it as "tRNA-Thr". It matches the Rfam family "tRNA". From Rfam's summary of the family: Transfer RNA (tRNA) molecules are approximately 80 nucleotides in length. Their secondary structure includes four short double-helical elements and three loops (D, anti-codon, and T loops). Further hydrogen bonds mediate the characteristic L-shaped molecular structure. tRNAs have two regions of fundamental functional importance: the anti-codon, which is responsible for specific mRNA codon recognition, and the 3' end, to which the tRNAs corresponding amino acid is attached (by aminoacyl-tRNA synthetases). tRNAs cope with the degeneracy of the genetic code in two manners: having more than one tRNA (with a specific anti-codon) for a particular amino acid; and 'wobble' base-pairing, i.e. permitting non-standard base-pairing at the 3rd anti-codon position. The record is from RNAcentral. Lineage: Eukaryota; Metazoa; Echinodermata; Asteroidea; Valvatida; Oreasteridae.